RNAcentral lists this ribosomal RNA (290 nucleotides) under uncultured bacterium. RNAcentral describes it as "partial 16S ribosomal RNA". It matches the Rfam family "Bacterial small subunit ribosomal RNA", at positions 505 to 796 of the family's 1533-position model. The record is from RNAcentral.
GUGCCAGCGCCGCGGUAAUACGGGGGGAGCAAGCGUUGUCCGGAAUCAUUGGGCGUAAAGGGCAUGUAGGUUGUAAUUUAAGUCAGUUUUUAAAUGUCACGGCUUAACCGUGGACUGGAAUUGAAACUGGAUUACUUGAGUAUGAGAGGGGACAGAGGAAUACCUAGUGUAGCGGUGAAAUGCGUAGAUAUCAGGAGGAACACCGGUGGCGAAGGCGACUUCCUGGACCAAUACUGACGCUGAGGCGCGAAGGCGUGGGGAGCAAACAGGAUUAGAAACCCCAGUAGUCC